Molecule: long non-coding RNA, 14140 nt
Organism: Callithrix jacchus (white-tufted-ear marmoset)
Lineage: Eukaryota; Metazoa; Chordata; Mammalia; Primates; Cebidae
Source: RefSeq, a predicted model, not a curated record
AGUUUUCGGAUAUCCGUAUAAAUGUCUCAGACAACAUAAUCCAAAUAUUCUUCUAUUACUGUUUCAUGGAAUUGUAGGUGAAACUACUUAAGUGAAGAUUUUUACUGGUCUUUUUUAAUAAGAUGGACAAAAAGUCUAUCUUCUUUUUUGUCUUUGGGGAGGAUUCUGCUUUCUGAGCAUUGGCAAUGUUCAGACUUAAAUUAUGUUUGUGUUCAGUCCUUUUUAAUGAAUAGUUCAGAAGAAAUAUUAGUACCUGCUGACACCUUGGCUUCAGUAUAAUUGAAGAAAAGACAUUUGUUUAAGACAUUGAAUAAUUUGUCUUUUGAUACAAGUCGAUCAAUAAGAAUUCAACGUUAAUCAAAGGAGGGAAUGGGCUCUUAUUGAGAGCAGACUGUGCCACAGAAUGUGCUGUGCAGUUAUGUAUUGUCAUAGUCAGUCUUCAUAACAAUUCCAAGUAUGUAUAGUUAUUUCGAAUUUACAAAUGAGGAAACUGAGUCUCAGAGAACUUUAACUCUCCUAAGAUGGCGAAGAGGAAGAAUUAAAGAAGGAUUAAAUCUUUUUUGGCUGAGAAAAGAGGAGGUGAGAGAAAAUUUCCAACAUGGAAGUGGCUUCUGGCAUGUCAGAGCUCCACAGCAAGUUUUAUAAUUUUGAUAGUCCUUGGAGAUCAAUGAAGUUGACUGGACUCCAUUCCUCUUCCAAACAGAAAUACCUUGCAGUCCAAUGAAGAAAGUAGUGGCUAAAAGGGAAAGGGCCAGAAUAUUCAACACAUUUGUCCUCGGUCCCAAAGGAAGCAAACAAGUCUGUUCCCUGCUAUUCCUUCUUUCACGCUAAACAUGUUAGACCAUUUCUAGAAAAAAGCAAUUUCGCGUUUGUAUUUUUUGUGUUACUUCUUUCAUAGUUUGUCUCCCUUUUGGUGAGUGAACUUGUUUUUAAAAUGUUUGUAUCAGCUCCUGGAGUAGCAAAAUUAUGUUUACACGUUUGUUAGCCUAUUCGGAAUGCUUCUUUUACUUCUAGAAUUUUCCUACUUAAAGGUAAAGUUUGGGUCUAUGGCAAAAACUUGAAAAUGUUGCUAAGGAUACAAGUCAAAGCACAGCAAUCUAAGUGUGUGUGUGCACUCGAGAGCAACCCCAUGAGGUUGGCAGGGCAGGGUAACCAGUUCUAUAGAUGAGCAAGGACAUGCCAGGACAAUGCCAAUCAUACACACGUGCUAGCACAGACAGCAGAGAACUCAGGUCUUCUGAUUCUCAGUUCAGUGCUGUGUCCUUUAUACUACUGCUGUCCUUGGGAACUAGCACACAGUACUUCUGUAGUGUGGAUAUUAGGAAUAAAGGCCAUUUCGUUAGCAUUUCACCCAUUUUUCAUGGAAGUCUAUCCGCACAGGAUUCUGUUGAAAAGUCUGCCUGGUGCCAUACUGUGGAACACAGAAGCUGAGAUUCACCACUUAACUCCUCAUGUUAACUUAGAAUUAAGCACGGAGUCAUUGUGAAAGGCUGUUUCAUUUAGCUCUAACUACAAAUGAAUGUGUGCACAUUUAUAUGCAUGGUAAAUAUGUAGACCUUAGAUAUGUAAUAAUUUGUGAAGCAUAAAAUGAAAAUUUUUGGAAAUGUACCUAAAAGGAAUAAAAACCCUAGGCACUUCCUUGUGGAUAUUGUUUUAGAAAGCUUCGGGCCUUUACCCUAGUGUUAUUUACUUAAUACUAAACAGUCAUUUCAAAUGUUUGAUGUUUGAAGGGGGCCGGCCACUCAAGAUCUUCAUAGGAAAAAAUAAACUUGUAAAGUCUUCAGAAUGUCUGGUUGAUGUUUCCCCAUUAUGUUGUAUCUACUUAUGUUAAGCAACGUGACCAAACCGAAUACAACUGUACAUAAAACUCAGAUUCACUGAACUGUUCACCUUUUUGAUUGAUGACUCAUAUAUCUGAAAGGUUGCAACCGAAAUGAAAAAGAAUAUUGCCGCAUUUUAAUGAAGACGACUUUUGAGAUUACAAAAAUAUAAUUAGAUUAUAUACAUUUUAAAAAAUCUUUUCAUUUUUAAAAUUACACAGGAAAAUAAAGAGUACCACUGGGUAGAAAUUGCUUAAUAAUUUCUUACUUUUUCUAAACGGUUCAAAGAACAAACCAGAUUUCUGUAAGACAAAGUUCAGCUGAAUGUUCUCUUUGGCAAAUACUAGAACUUACUUCUAUGCCUGGGACAUUAGGAAAAUGCCACUUGAAUAAAGAUGAAAUGGAACAACCUAUCACUACCUAUAAAAGAAAGAAGUUAACUGGAAUUUAUCUAAGCUAACUUUAUUUCCCAAACUCAAAAUUGUAACAACAAAGUCCUUUACAUGAGCAGCUCUGUGACCUGAAAGAAGAGGCUGUCUAAUUUCUUUCCAUGCAUCAAGCCAAAUAAAUGAAGGGAGAAAAUCAUUCUUCUCUGUUGGCCUCCUGUGUAAAGUUUCUUUUCUUAUCAUCCCGUCUAGUCACAUCUUUCUGCAGCCUGAAUCACCCUCUUUUCCUCAGACUGGUAAGGCACUGAAACGAUGUUUGUUCUGCUAAUUAACUUUAUUACCCUGAUAACUCCCUGCAGCCUUUGACGAAAACAAUUACCGUUACUUCUUUUUCCCCCCACUGGCAAAAAAAAAAGGGAAAAAAAAAAGAAAAAGAAAAAAAGACUAUUAAUUAGAAACGAGGCCCAGGUCCCUGCCAUGUUAUCCUGCCACGUUCCCAGGCCCUCGAGCAGGAUAGCAUUACAUUGUCAGUAGUAAUUUAGCUCUCAUCUGUCUCUGCUAAUUAUUGUCACAUUCAUCAAAUUCAUCAACAAAAGUGCUCUCAGAAGGAUUGCAUAUUUGCAGUUAAUACAGCAUAAACUGGUAUUACCCAUCACCACAUUUGUGAUGAUGAGAGGGACACAACUUAUUCAUCCCUAAUUAGAGCAAGCUGGGUAAUUAAUUAUGCAUUCCGCCUUAUUACUUCUGAGUUCCCAGAUAUUGUUUGUCUAAAAAGGGGGAGAAAGCAGGAGAGAGAAGCCUGAAAAUGCAAAAAAAAAAAAAAAAGGGUGAUGUGUUUUGUCACAUGCGCUAUGCCAUAAUUCCCACCUGACAAACUAGCUGAAUCAGUGGAAAAUUGCGAGUUGUCAGCAGCAGAAUAAACUGCUGUAAUAGCUGAUUAAUGAUCAGCACCUGUGACAGGUGCUGUACGGGACUGUAAACUUGGUUUGAUUAACAGUCACUGGACGAAUAAAUAUUAGUGACAGUCAGCGGAGAGCAAGUUUGCUUGUUUUCUUCCCUGUUAACAAACCUCACGCAUUAAAGUUACUGAUAUUUCCGUCUGAGACACUCUAUUUUUUGUAGUUAUCUGGCAACACUGGCAGUGAGUUUUAAUGGAUUGUGUUUGUUUCUGUUCUGUUAUUUUAUUUCAGAACGAAAUUGUAUUUUGACAAGAUGACCUGUAGGGGUUUAGAUUCACCAGGUGUGGAAGAAAGACUAAAAAACAACAGGAUUCACACUUGGUUUAAUUUAUGCUCACCUGCUAGUAAUCUGGGUGUGUAUGUGUGUGUAUACAUAUCCACACAUGCACAUAUAUUCAUUAUACACAUUUACAUGUAUGUACAAUAAUGAUUAAGGAAUAUUUAUGCUAAAAAACAGUCACAAACAUGUAGAAUAUGCGAUGUUCGCUUGCUUUUUGGUUUUAAUUGUUUCUUUCCCCGUUCUGUGCAUUGGAUAUUUUCCCCGGAAAUAUUGGCAGCGUGAGUUACCCCAACCCCAUGUCUCAAUCCAGAAUUCAAAACUGCCUGCUGCCAGCUCAAUUGUUUCUACUGAAUUGACCAGUUUCAAACAGACUGGUCAGGAGGUGAUUAACCUGUUUGAGCUGCCUGGUGAUUAACCAGGAGUCAAGUUAUGGGCACAGACAAGCAAAGUGUAAGUAAUGAAAGGAAACCAAUUGUCCUUUUUUUUUUUUUUUUUUUUUUUUUAGGUCAUAGUCAAAGAAGCUAUCUGCCUUAACUGUGGUUCUUUUGAAUUUUUGAUUUAUAUAGUGAGAGAUUAAGACUGUGGAAUUUUGGAAUCCUAAAGACCUACAUUCAAAGUCCUGCUUAACUAGCUGUGAGUUUGGAUAAGUUACUUAAUCUGUCUGAUCUUCUCAUUUUUCCAGUGUAAAGUGAGGGCAUUUCCGACUGCAUUAUGUGGUUACUGUGAAGAUCAGGUAAGAUAACGUGUGUAAAGCACCUAGCACAGCGCCUGGCACAGACAUGGCCCAGUGAUUCGCAAUUUAAUCACUAUUAACACAACCGUGUGAAAUUUGAAUAGUCAGAUUAUUCUCAUAUUGUUUCAUAUGAUGAAUUGCUUUAACACCAAUUAAUUAUCUUUUUUUCUCCACAGACUCCAAAAUAACAGGAAAAUUAAAAAGCGAAGCAAGAUUAUGCCCACUUAUUCCUGAGUAAAAACUAGGAUUAGUAAUAUGUCAGGGUAGUAGAUAACCCACAGUGGUGCUCUAAGUUAUUCAGUUACUUCUCAAAGGCACACAGGUUGCAACUGACUGAGUGGGGUAAACGUUGUUUUUUUAAAUAGAGAUGCCAGGACCCACCACCAGGUACUCUGAUUCUAUUCCUUUUGUGGAGGCCCUUGCCCAUGGGCAUCUUUAAAAAGUUCCUGGGCCAGACACGGUGGCUCAUACCUAGUAAUCUCAGCCCUUUGGGAGGUCGAGGCGAGCAGAUCACAUCAGGCCAGGAGUUCAAGAACAGCCUGUCCAACACAGCGAAACCCCUUUACUAAAAAUACAAAAUUAGCCGGGUGCGGUGGCACGUCUGUAGUCCCAGCUACCUUGAGAGACUGGGGCAGGAGAAUCGCUUGAACCCAGGAGGGGGAGGUUGUAGUGAGCCAAGAUCACACCACUGCACUCCAGCCUGUGCUACAGAGUAAGAAAAAAAAAAGUUCUUCAGGUGAUUAUGUGCGUGUCUUCAAACUUUAGAACUGGGGAUAAGUACAUAAAGUUAGAAAUUUGUGAAAAAGAGUAAGCAUUCAUUCAGAUGAUAGAACUACUGUGAAAUGGAUGACUAAAAACUUACAUACAUUCCCUAUGGGAGCUUUCUAGUUAUCUAAAGUUGUUAAAGUAUCACGACUGAAACACUUUUUUUGUUGUUAGUUAAUCCAGUUGAGGAGAAAACCAUCUAAUAAUUCAAACAGUAAGAAUGAUAUUCAGAAUCAUCACCUUACUUUAUACCACUAAUUAGAAUUGCAAGGUCAAUUGCCUCAUCUCACCGGAAAGAAUAAACCCAGUGGUGGUGGCCAAAACAUUUCUGUGGCUGACAGAUGAACUAGGUGGCGGCAGGGUGACUGGUGAUUGUGGCCUGCUCCCAAGUGGAUAUCGUGCUGCACAAAUGGUGACAAGAGUUAAGAGACCAAACAUUCCUGCCAUGUGGGAUGUAUACACGUGGAUUAAGAAUCAGGUAAUGGGUGGCCUGUGCCUGCUUCUUCCUGCACUUUGUUACCUAAACUUUGCUCGUCCUCGGUGCAAAUCAGUCAAUGGUUGUAGUAGGGUUCAUUGGUCUGUCACUUCCCGAUUGCUGCUUGUGGUCAGACAACCCAGGCAACCACAUGAAACAGCAUUGAAAUUGCUUGUUUGGCUAGAACGCUGAUAUUCCACAUUACGUUACAGUUCCCAGAGAGUCAUCAAGUUCUGUAUCUAUAUUCCAGAAUUCCUGUAGUGCUACAAUGUCUUAAUUUAAAUGUUUAAUUAUUUAAAAGUAUUAAAUUAUACUUUAUCAAGUUGGAUAAAAACAAAAAAGGUAAUCUAUCUCUAAGCACUUACUUAUUUUGAGGUAGGGUCUUACUCUGUCGCUCAGUCUGGAGCGCACUGGCAGGAUCAUGGCUCACCACAGACUCGAUCUCCCAGGCUCAGGUGAUCCUCUCAGCUCAGCCUCUUAAGUAGCUGGGACUACAGGUUUGCACCGCCACAAAUACCUCUGUUUUUCAAUUUUAGUAGAGAUGAGGUAUCACUAUGUUGCCCAAGUGAGUCUCAAACUGAGCUCAAGCAAUCCUCCUGCCUCAGUUUCCCAAAGUGCUGCAAUUAUAAGUGUGAGCCAUCACACCCAGCCCACCUCUGAAAAUUUAAAUAGAAAAAGUCUCACUUGGCACAUGGGAAUUGGGGUGAGUCAAUAGGGAAUGCCUGGCUCCAUAGGAUGACUUGACCCUAAUGGAGUUUUCUCUGGUCCAGAGCAAGCAUGGGCAGACUAUUACCAGUGGGAUAAUCUGGCUUGCCCUCUAUUGUUGUAAGGCUUUGCAAGUUAGGAAAGGUUUUUAAGUGGUUAAAAAAAAAGAUAAAAAUAUUUUGCAAUAUAAAAAUGAUAUGAAAUUCAUUACAUACAUACAAAUUGUAUGGGAUCUUGCUGGAAUAGAAAUUCUUGAUUUAGGAGGUCUAUUCUGCAUUUCCAGCAUGCUACCUGUGAUACUCAUGCUGCUGGCCUGAGGACCAUGCUUAGAGAAGGGAGGCGUUAAACUGUGACCUCAUCAGAAACACGCGAAGCCUAAUGUCAGCCUGAUCAAGAGCAGAUCUUUUAGGAAUGAACUCACAUUAAUCACGUGCACAAGGUUGACGCAAAAGCCUAACAAUCUAAUUUAUUAACCCAUCAAUGAGAAAUACAAUAGGAACAUUCUGUUUCUAUAGACAUGGUGCCUGAUAUGCUGAAUUAGAGCAGAAGAUUAUUUUAUCUUGCUCUGUCGCCCAGGCUGGAGUGCAAUGGCACGAUCUCGGCUCACUGCAAUUACUGCCUCCCGGGUUCAAACAAUUCUCCUGCCUCAGCCUCCCAAGCAGCUAGGAUUACAGGCAUGUGCCACCACACCCGGCUAAUUUUGUGUUUUUAGCAGAGUUGUGGUUUCACCAUGUUGGUCAGGCUGGUGAUGUUCGGCUUCAAACCCCUGACCUUCAGCGGCCCAAAGUACUGGGAUUACAGGCGUGAGUCACUUGGUCUUCUGUGGGUCAAUUUUGAGUGAUAAUUCUAAGAGCCCUGCUCUAGCCAUGCUAGCCAGAGAGAACUGUCUGUGAUUGCAGGAAUUCGAUUCCACUUCUAAUUUACAUCACAUAGUGAUUCCCUAGUCGUGGUUUACUGUUUAUUAUUAUUCCAUGAAAUUAUGCCAUGGCAUUUUAAAAGAUUUCCCUGCAAAUUUAUUUUAAGUAUGUCAUAACUCUAAAAUCAAGAGGAGUAGCAUUGAAGUAUUUAUCACUGUGAGACCAGGACCAAAUCAGUGUCCUCAUCAAUGAAACGUAGAGGAGAGAUUCAGGAAGACAGGAUUCCCAUGGACCCUUCCAGUUUUUUUAAAAUUUAUUUGUUAUACUUUAAGUUCUGGGGUACACGUGCAGAUUGCGCAGUUUUGUUAUAUAGGUCUACUCGUGCCAUGGUGGUGGUUUGUUGUAUCCAUCCCUCGUCAUCUACACUAGGUAUUUCUCCUAAUACUAUCCCUCCCCUAGCCCCCUACCCUCCAGUCCCUGAUAUGUGAUGUUCCCCUCCCUGUGUCCAUGUGUUCUCAUUGUUCAACUCCCACUUAUGAGUGAGAACAUGUGGUGUUUGGCUUUCUGUUCUUGUGUCAGUUUGCUGAGAAUGAUGGUUUGCAGCUUCAUCUAUGUCCCUGCAAAGGACAUGAACUCAUUCUUUUUUAUGGCUGCAUAGUAUUCCAUGGGGUGUAUGUGCCACAUUUUCUUUAUCCAGUCUAUCAUUGAUGGGCAUUUUGGUUGGCUCCAAGUCUUUGCUGUUGUGAACAGUGCCACAACAAACAUAUGUGUACAUGUGUUUUUAUAAUAGAAUGAUUUCUAAUUCUUUGGGUAUAUACACAGUAAUGGGAUUGCUGGGACCCUUCCAGGUUUUAACACUAAACCCAAAUAAAAUUUUUCUGUAAGAUACACAUAAAAAUGGGGUUCAUUUUCUUGUUGCCACACUCCUGGCCUGUGCUGCAUAUUGUACUCUGGGCCCUCAUUGACUUUUUUUUUUUUGAGAUGGAGUUUUGCUCUUGUUACCCAGGCUGGAGUGCAAUGGCGCGAUCUCGGCUCACUGCAAUCUCUGCCUCCUGGCUUCAGGCAAUUCUCCUGCCUCAGCCUCCCGAGCAGCUGGGAUUACAGGCACGCACCACUGUGCCCAGCCAAUUUUUUUGUAAUUUUAGUAGAGACAGGGUUUCACCAUGUUGACCAAGAUGGUCUCGAUCUGUUGACCUCGUGAUCCACCCACCUCGGCCUCCCAAAGUGCUCGGAUUACAGGCUUGAGCCACCGCGCCCGGCCCCUCAUUGACUUUUAUGUCUUUUUUUCUGGUAUUCUUGUUACCUGACAACUCUGUUCUGAAUUUUCUUCAUUAAAAUAAGAACUCGUUAAGGCAGACAUCUUAUUCAAUUUCGUAUCCCCCAGCAUUUUAUAUAAAAAGACUAUCCAAGAUGUGUCAUUGAAUUGAAUUAGCGUGGAAAUACCCUCAAAACAAGUAACUUUGGGGUAGAAGAACCUUAAAAGGUUGAGAGGUUGCAACCUUGCACAGUAACGUAGGAUUGUGACAAGCCAGUUGAUCGGAUGUGUGGCAGCUCCUGGCCUCACACUGCAUUAACUGUAUUCUGUAAACUUAUAAAACCAUUAUUCCCCCGGAAACCUCGAAAGAGUAGCUUGACUUUGCAUUUAGUAAUGGUUCAUUCUAUUUCUGAUUCAAGCAACUUCUGAUAAUUCCAUAAUUAGAUUCAAUCUAAAGGAUCAAGAACAUUUUUGUAUUGUGAUUAGAAUUUUAACAUUAUUCAUGGUUUGUAGAAAGGAAAAUAUCCCAUCUGGAAUAAUGUCAAUGUCAUAUCUAUAUAUGCCUUGUUGGAUUUAAUAAAAAUCUUUAAAAAUAUUUUUUCUCCCCUUAAUACAUUUCCAUUUAUGUGCAAUGUUUUUGAUCAGGAAACUAAAAAGUAGCAGCGGGUGGGAAUGAAGGGAGCCAAAUAUAGAAUUGGUGCCAACAGAUGCAAAAGUGCCAUGGAAAUCUUUGGCCCAGAAAUAAUAGCUUACCAAAAUACACACACACACAGUUGUUGGACUCUUGAACAGAUACACAGCCGUCUGUAUAGACAACAGUGCUGUUGGCCAAGAGUCUCGGAGGCAGGCCAACCUCCUAUCCAGAUGCCACUGCCAGUGAGGAGCCAUUUGGCUUCUAGUCCUCUGGCUGCCAACCUUCUCUCCCACUCUCUGGCAUGAAUUUUUACAGGGGCUGCUGAAGUGAAUUAAGACUCUGAAGAGUUCUGUAUUAAUAUGCCGCGACAACACAGAACACAGUGCCACAGGAGCCCUUUACGCUAUUUGAAUGUUUUUACCCAUUAUUAUUUUUUUAGGUGUCAAAGAAACCUGACUUCUAGGUAUUUGGCCACAGAUAAAUGCAAUUGCUUUGGAAAUUAAGAGUGAUAUAUUUUGAUUUCUGCAUGGAGCCAACUCUCCUCAACCCAGAAAUACCUUGAGAGUUUUUAAAAGGCAAGCAAUUGAAAAUAUACAUGCCAAAAAACAAACAAACAAAAAACUCAAAAGGAAAAAAGGAAAGAGAAUUAUAGAUAAGAAAAGACCCUCUGCAGCCAAUUAAGUGGGUUCCUUUCCUCAUGGCGGCCCAGUGCGCCAGGGCUGCAAACAGCAGCUUCCUUGGUGGUGUAAUACAGUCUGUUUCUUAUAUAGGUUGCUUGAAGGGACCUUUGGAGACAGGGCUUUCGGAUGUAUGUUCCUGUCUGUGACCUUGCACUACCCCAAUGUAGGCUCCAAACAGGCAUGUGAGAUGCCUUUGGAAAGCCCAGGGAACUGUGGCCAGGGUCCGCAUUGGCCAAGUGAUCAUGUCCAUCUGCACCAAGCUGCAGAACAAGCAGCAUGUGACUGAGGCCCUGUGCAGGGCCAAGUUCAAGUUCCCUGGCCGCUAGAAGAUCCACCUCUUAAAGACGUAGGGCUUCAUCAAGUUCAAUGCCGAUGAAUUUGAAGCUAUGGUGGGUGAGAAGCGGCUCAUCCCAGAUGGCUGUGGGGAUGCAGAAUUUAAGGGAUAUUCCUUAGCAAAAUGUUCUGAUCAUCUUGGAAGCCCUGCUGGUAAAACAAAGAUGAAAAUAUCUUCAUUUAUCACUCUACUACAUCAACAUGCAGCUGCCAAAGGUCAUCUGACAUAAUAGCUGAUGAAUUCAAGCCCAGUGGAUUUCAUUUGCAAUUUUCAAUUUACUGAGGCCUCCAAACCCCACGGUGAUAAAAGCUUCCCCUAUCGUGGCCUGUCACAAACAUCAAGAAACUGCACAAACCCACAAGAAAGAAAAAAGAGGAAGCUGUGCAUCAUCACAGCUAUAGAUAAGGAGAACAGGAAGAAAUGGUAUCAACCAGGAAGGUGGGGAGCAGCCUGUGUGGCUAGUUCUCUAAAUGCCAAUUGAAAGGAAAAGACUAUGAGGAACAAUCAAAUAACUUCCACAGAAUAACAUGUUUCUUUAGAGCUUUUGUGUGAAAACUGCCUUCUAAUCUCUGAUGUGACAUGCUCCCACACAAAAAUGUAAGUGUAAAUAUGCAAAUAAGUAAAUGAAUAAAUUAUCCUUGCUUACCUGGUCAUUGGAAAGCAUGCUCUCUAUGCUGUAUUUACCAUAGUUCUUCUUUACAAAAUGCUCAUAGAGGGUCUUUGAUCAUGGAAGUGUAGGCUCAGCACUAAGAAAUCAAUUUUUUAAAUUUUUUUUGCAGAGAAAUGGUAGAUCCUUUGAUUGAUUUGCCAGGGAAGUCAAAGGACUGACACAGUAACUGCUUGUAAGUGGAUCUAGAUGUGGUACAUAUCAAAGAUGCAUUAGCAAGAAGAAGAAAGCCAUUUUCCCCCUUGUCAAACUAUUUACAAUGAACUUAGGCAGGAUCGGGAGCUGACUCCUGUUCCCAGGCAAUUGUUCAAACUGAGGAAACCAUCAGUUUCUUGGAGAACAGCAAGUUUGAUAACUCAGCAGGUCGCCUUCAUCUGAUCUUACUUGACUCACACCAUUGCCUGGCAAGCAGGAAAGCAAAGAGAUGUCCACGUUGGAGGUGCAGCCACUGGGAGAGUUUCAUUUCAAACAUGGAUGUCUUGAUCCUAUUUCUGCCAAAUAGAUUCAGGAAGGCUUAUGGAGUGUGUCUGAUGUGGUAAGAGGACUUGGCAGUGGUCGUGUACCACUCUGCCGAAUGCCAAAAUUUCUGAUGACCCUUGACAAGAAAACCCGAGAAUGAUAUCAACAGGACCAGAAUAUUAACUUUAUUUGUGUGUUGCUGACUGUGUGGCAAUCAGAGUUUGGAAGGGAAAAGAGAGAAUUCCUGGUGGAACUCAUACGACAGUGAGAGGUUGCCUAUUGUAAAGUUAGUCUUUAAACUGUCACAGCAAAAAUAAAAGUAGGAGCUAUUUGAACCCUGAGUUCUUUGAAAUUAAACUGUUUCUUAAGAUUCUUCUAUGAGCAGAAAAUUUAACAAGCUUUUAAUUCUUCAAAGUCUCGAAAUAGAAAAUAGCUUCCUUGGUAGUCGAAAAUGGCAGGAACUAACAUUUUGAAAUAAGAGAAAUAAAACAUUAUUCUAAAGCUGCACAAAAUGUGGAAAGAAACAAUAUUUUAGCAUUCUAGUAUUUUUCCCCUACACAAAAUUAUGCCAUUUUUAAGGUUGCUUUCAACCCUCCUUUUUUUUUUAGUUUCUAUAGGUUCAGUGAGAACUCUCUAUGAUUUGCAUUUUCCAUGGAUUCUCUUUCAAUUGAUAGCAUAAUCCUGAGACCCCACUGGUGGUAAAAUAUUAUUUAAUGGGAUCUUAAUUUAGACAGUCUUCUCAAAAAUGCAUACAUACAAUUUGGUAAGAGUUUUUCAUGAUCACUGUUCUUCUAUGGCAGUGAUAUGCUAUGUAACUGCAGACCAAUUGGUCUGCAGUUACACAGCAUAAAGGGUAAUCUCUUUUAUGUUCUUUUUAUUAGAAAGGCAGAUCUGAAUCUUCAAGGCAGAGUCCUAAAUUGUUCUUGUAGAUGGAUUUGUUCACAAAGACUCUUCACUCUCAUACCCCACGGAUAAUUAGUCAGUCAGCCCAGAGUAUUCACUCUAGUUUGAAUGAUACAAAAGAGCAUUUCUCAUUUCAUUAAUUAAUUCUUUCAUUCCUUUAUGUAGCAUUUAUUUAGUGCCUACUAAGCACAGGUUAUCUUGAGGACUAUAAAUAAGACUUUUCCCACUUUCAAGCAGUUUGCAAAAGACAGGAGUGAAGAAUUUUAAAUUUGUCUUUUUUCUUACCCCCAUCCCCAGAAUUGAAUUGUCAUAUAUCUAUUAAAACUUUAAAUAAUAAAAAAAGUUACACUGAGAAUCUGACCUUGGAUAUCUGGAUAACAUCUUAUUUGUGUUGUCCAUUUGUUGGUGAUAUGUGCAUCACCAUAACUUUUUUUUCUCCAAAUCGAUAUACAAUCUAUUCUUACUAAAUAGCUUUUCUUUGAACUCAGUUUUAAAAAGUUAAAUAAAUCAAGUCAGGAAGGCAUCAUUAGAUAUACUACCACAAAUGGAAAGCCUGUAUCACAAGCUAUGAAUAAAAAACAAUUAUAAAUUAAAGUGUCUAACUAUUAUCGACAUUAUCUCAUGUUUUGUGGGCAGUAAAAGCAUCACUCUUCGGAAGAUACUGGUUUUGUGCGUGGUGCUGAUGAAGAUGACUGCUGCAGAUUUGACUGCCGUAAGAAUGGAAGCUCUGUGAGAACACGUACUUCGAGCUUUUCCUUGCCGUGCUACAACUGCUAGAACAAUGCCUAGCAAAUAUUUGACGCUAAAACAUGACUUUAAAAUGAGUAGGAGCCGGUCAGCUUCUGAAGGAUCAAGUCGUAUUUCUCCUGUAGCCACACUCUUUGUGCUUUAUAAUAAUUACUUGAAUGUUUCUCACAAUCACUGCGCUCAUCAAAAGCUUUGUUUUUCUUGUUCACUCCUGUUAUAAUCAUUAAUGCUAGAACUAUGUCAGGAACAUAGUAGGUGCUUAAUAAAUAUUCACUGGGCAAAGAGACUUGCCAUUCUAAAGUCAUACAGUUUCUAUUGCCUCCCUGGUCAUUUUUAAAAGGAGCUCAAUUGGCCAAUAUUGGCUUAAAGCUAUUCAACAUCUGGACAUUAAAAAAAAAAAAACUUAGUUGAAUAAAGGAAAGAACAUUUUUGUGACAUCAGAAAAAAAGAGUUAACUCUGUUUAUAAAAGACAGACCUAAAAGGAGAACAGAUAAUUCUUUUCAAUGCUUAGCUGUAGUGCCAAUUUUCAAUUCUUGAAUGAGUCACCCCAGCAAGGUUUUCUUACAAUUUUACAAAUUAAGAUUGCACUAAAAUUUAUGUGUUUGUAGAAAAACUGACAAAUAUCAAGGUCAGCAAAUUACACCAAAGGGUACCAGCCAGGAUUUAAUGGUAUAUUUUUAUUUAAAUUGCCUUUAUGAAUUCCUUGACUUAAGAAUCAAGCAUCCUGACUAGAAAAGUGAUAUUUACAAAAUCUGAGUUUAUGUUUUUCUAUUACAAAGACAUCCAUAAGAAGAAAUAGUGAAGAAUUAGCAGUAUUUCUCUGGUCCCCACCUCCAAAGGAGUACUGUCAAUCAUUGCCUAAAACAUAAGCUUUUGUAGGUUUUGAAUGCUUUGAACUGGAAAACGACUAUUUUAGUGGAUAAUUAAAGGGUGUUACAACUGAUUGAGCUUGUGUAGAAUCAGAAAAUUGGUGGGAUUGGAAUGGACAUAUAGGUCACAACACUUCUUUUGUAAUAUUUUCUACUACAAAUGAUUCUUCAGUUGAAAAAUCAAGGCUUGAGCUAAGGUAUCACGUAUGACAUAAAAAUCAAACACUGAGAGAACUCUAUUUAUCAUUUAACAAAUCAGACUCAGCUUAAAGAGUGGUUUCUCUAAUAGACUAAUUCCUUCUCAUAAAUCUACUGAUUCAAUUACGUAUAACCAGUUUCAUUUGAGCAAAUCUUUAUUUCUCGAAUCUGUGCUAUAUGGAGUAGGCUUCAGUAAGACAUCAAUGGACAUUUCGUUGAAAAAAAAUUUGGGUCAGAAAAGUGUGGAAAAUUUUGGGUUGAACAGAUUUUAAAAUCUGCCCUUCAGAAUACAUUGUGACCAGUCAAUUUAUCAAGGGUAAUAUUAUCCAUAUUUGGUAACUCACUACUCAGCUUAACAUUUCCCAUUUUUGUAAGAUCUUUUAAGAUGUAAUAAAAUAUUACAUUUAAUUAAA